RNAcentral lists this small nuclear RNA (160 nucleotides) under Pogona vitticeps (central bearded dragon). RNAcentral's name for it is "U1 spliceosomal RNA (ENSPVIG00000024082.1)". It matches the Rfam family "U1 spliceosomal RNA". Rfam says of the family: U1 is a small nuclear RNA (snRNA) component of the spliceosome (involved in pre-mRNA splicing). Its 5' end forms complementary base pairs with the 5' splice junction, thus defining the 5' donor site of an intron. Lineage: Eukaryota; Metazoa; Chordata; Lepidosauria; Squamata; Agamidae. The record is from RNAcentral.
AAAUGUACCUUGCAGGCAAAAUACCAUGUCAUAAAAAUGGUUUUCCCAGGAAGAAGCUCAUCCAUUGUACUCAGGGUAUGUUGCUGAUCCCUGUGGUUUCCCUAAAUGUGGGGAACUCAGCUACAUAAUAUAUGUUAAAGAGGGCAUUAUAAUUUCCUGG